AUAAGGGCACCUGAUGAUUGAAAUAAAAAGGAAAAUUUGAAAAAUCAAAUUAAAAAAAAUAAAAGAAAAAUAAUCAUCAGGGAACUCGAAAGAAGGAUAAGUCAUCGGAUAUUGAAAAUAAAGACAAAUCCAAAAGUUGAAUCCUCGAUAACAGUUGAUCCUAAAGGACGAGUGCAAGAAAGAAUUCCAACACUAAUCCAUCAGAAUGAGCAUAGUGAAGAUAACAAUCAUAUUGACUCUGAACCUUAGCC
RNAcentral lists this long non-coding RNA (251 nucleotides) under Lathyrus oleraceus (garden pea). Its description in RNAcentral is "Pisum sativum (pea) long non-coding RNA (PSAT_LNC013529)". Lineage: Eukaryota; Viridiplantae; Streptophyta; Magnoliopsida; Fabales; Fabaceae. The record is from RNAcentral.